This 220-nucleotide ribosomal RNA is filed under the name uncultured Glomus. Its description in RNAcentral is "partial small subunit ribosomal RNA". It matches the Rfam family "Eukaryotic small subunit ribosomal RNA", at positions 591 to 818 of the family's 1831-position model. The record is from RNAcentral. Lineage: Eukaryota; Fungi; Glomeromycota; Glomeromycetes; Glomerales; Glomeraceae.
CCAAUAGCGUAUAUUAAAGUUGCUGCAGUUAAAAAGCUCGUAGUUGAAUUUCGGGACUAAUAUGUCGGUCGUGCCUCGGUACGUACUGGCUUAUUGGUUUCUCCUUUCUGAAGAACCAUGAUGUCAUUUAUUUGGUGUCGUGGGGAAUCAGGACUGUUACUUUGAAAAAAUUAGAGUGUUUAAAGCAGGCUCACGCUUGAAUACAUUAGCAUGGAAUAAU